UAAUGCCGAUGACAGUGCACGUACCCACAUAUGCAGUGUGUACGUACCUAGCCCCCGAGUCGAAAUGCGUCGCAUUUCGUCGAACGCGUCCGCGCCGGAAUCAUCAUCACCGUCGUUCAACGCCACCGCCGUCGCCGAACAUAUUUCAUAUACAAUGCGCACCUUCGAUUUGGUUAUUGGUGAAUUUGAUGGAUUGCUACAGGUUUCCAGUGCAUAUACUAUUACUUAUAUGGCGAUAAUUAUUUCAUAGCGGUAUUAUUGUACCUAUUUCAGAAACAACACGUUUUAUAAUGGAACUUAUAACACUAGCGACUACUAUAGAUUUGUCGAGUAAACGUUCGGGAAUACUGCAGAACACCGAAUACAUAAUGUAUGAAUAACAUGGGAAUUAUAUUACAUUAUCGCGUUUCGUCGUUUAUCUAACAACUGCAGAGCCGUAGUAGAGGUCAUUUAUAUGGUUUUUGAUGUUUGGCUACUUAGUUAAUUUCAUUUUUUUUUUUUUUUUAAUGAAUUGUUGUAGAUACGCUUCGGACAUAUUUGCAUAAAACAAUGGAAUUAUUAAAACUAAAUUCAAACGUAUAGCUGUGAACAUUAAACACAUUUAAACAGUUACGGAGCUAACACAAUAAGAAAAUCAAACGUCGAGUUUCCAAAUAGAGUGAAGAAAUUAAAAGGCUAUACUAUAUAUGGUGUCUAUAUAUCAUUUACGGAAAUGAACAUUUCGUCUCAGUUUGAUAAAUUAAGCAUUUUGAAGGACACAACGACGAAACAUUACAUACUCUGGCACACACGUUAAAUGUUUGAUGUACACUGCGCAUGCUUUCACGUGGAACACACUAUAAUGUUGUUUAGGAUGUGUUUCUAAAACUGUGCGCGAAAAAAAAUUUCUAUAACCUCUGUGACCUGACCACACACACACAAACACACAAACACACUAUAAUUCUAUUUUACCGGUGGAAAAUUCUAUUACUAUAUUAUAUGUUACAGAAAAGAGAUGUAUAUUUAACAAUAUUAUUUGUUGAAAAUCAAUCAAUUGCCAAUGACUGUAACGGAGUUUAUUAUUUCGAAUUUAAAAAAGAAAAAACAAUUUAUCGACUGAUAUAGCAAUAAACGCGCGGGAUGAAGUCUUCUAUAGGAAAAGUAUAAUAAAAAAUCGAACCCCCACUGAUCCGCAAGUUCGAGCAGUUCACGGAACGAAAUCGAAAGCUCCGUGUAAUACGCGCGGAACCUACAACCCCAAAUUGACAACUUCCACACAUUUUUAUGGUCAUCUCGCGGAUACACACGACGACGACGUUUUACUCGCGAAUCUUUUCCGUCCUGCGUGCUCUCUCAAAACGUGUACCUAAGCCUAUGUGUAUUGUGCAUAAAUGUAUAUUAUAUAUAUUUUAUAAACAUCAGGCGUGUAUAUAAGUAUAUAUUAUACCUAUGUGUAUAAUAUAAUAAAGAAUGUACCUGCAGCGGCCUACGCACAUAUAUAUAUACGCGACUUGUGGAGAAUACUGUUGCAGCAGCUCAGAUUACAAUCGCGGGUAAUCAGCAAUCGUAUUAACCGCGUUGCUAAUAAUAUAUUAUCAUUAAUAUU
This is a long non-coding RNA of Aphis gossypii (cotton aphid), 1585 nucleotides long. RefSeq lists it as uncharacterized. The record is from RefSeq and is a predicted model, not a curated record. NCBI's taxonomy places the organism in Eukaryota, Metazoa, Arthropoda, Insecta, Hemiptera, Aphididae. The transcript is spliced from 8 exons.